CCUACGGGUGGCAGCAGUGGGGAAUAUUGCACAAUGGAGGGAACUCUGAUGCAGCGACGCCGCGUGAGUGAAGAAGUAAUUCGUUAUGUAAAGCUCUAUCAGCAGGGAAGAAAGUGAUGAUACUAGUAAACGAAGCUCCGGCCAAAUACGUGCUAGCAGCCGCGGUAAUACUUAGGGAGCAAGCGUUCUCCGGAUUUACUGGGGGUAACGUGAGAGUAGGUGGCAGAGCAAGUCCGAAGUGAAAUCCCAAGGCUCAACUAUGGGAAUGCUUUAGAAACUGCUCAGCUAGAGUGCAGGAGAGGCAAGUGGAAUUCUUAGUGUAGCGGUGAAAUGCGUAGAUAUUAGGAGGAACACCAGUGGCGAAGGCGGCUUGCUGGACUGUAACUGACGCUGAGGCUCGAAAGCGUGGGGAGCAAACAGGAUUAGAUACCCCGGUAGUC
Molecule: ribosomal RNA, 440 nt
Filed under: uncultured bacterium
Lineage: Bacteria
Description: partial 16S ribosomal RNA
Rfam family: Bacterial small subunit ribosomal RNA
Source: RNAcentral